UACGUAGGGCGCAAGCGUUGUCCGGAUUUAUUGGGCGUAAAGAGCUCGUAGGCGGUCUGUCGCGUCGGCUGUGAAAACCCGAGGCUCAACCUCGGGCCUGCAGUCGAUACGGGCAGACUAGAGUGCGGUAGGGGAGACUGGAAUUCCUGGUGGAGCGGUGAAAUGCGCAGAUAUCAGGAGGAACACCCGUAGCGAAGGCGGCACUCUGGGCCGAUUCUGACACUGAGGAGCGAAAGCGUGGGGAGCAAACAGG
RNAcentral lists this ribosomal RNA (253 nucleotides) under uncultured bacterium. RNAcentral describes it as "partial 16S ribosomal RNA". It matches the Rfam family "Bacterial small subunit ribosomal RNA", at positions 524 to 776 of the family's 1533-position model. The record is from RNAcentral.